Long non-coding RNA from Gallus gallus (chicken), 710 nucleotides. RefSeq lists it as uncharacterized. The record is from RefSeq and is a predicted model, not a curated record. NCBI's taxonomy places the organism in Eukaryota, Metazoa, Chordata, Aves, Galliformes, Phasianidae. The transcript is spliced from 2 exons.
GAGCCUAAUGAGCCUGCUAAUUGCUGCCCUUAGCACCAGGCCGUGUGGUUCCUGCUGGCCGAGAUGGCCAUGAAGGUGGAGCUGGCCCGCUAAUGACUAAUGAGCCUAAUGAGCCCUGCUAAUUGCUGCCCUUAGCACCAGGCCGUGUGGUUCCUGCUGGCCGAGAUGGCCAUGAAGGUGGAGCUGGCCCGCUAAUGACUAAUGAGCCUAAUGAGCCCUGCUAAUUGCUGCCCUUAGCACCAGGCCGUGUCGUUCCUGCUGGCCGAGAUGGCCAUGAAGGUGGAGCUGGCCCGCUAAUGAGCCUAAUGAGCCUAAUGAGCCCUGCUAAUUGCUGCCCUUAGCACCAGGCCGUGUGGUUCCUGCUGGCCGAGAUGGCCAUGAAGGUGGAGCUGGCCCGCUAAUGACUAAUGAGCCUAAUGAGCCCUGCUAAUUGCUGCCCUUAGCACCAGGCCGUGUGGUUCCUGCUGGCCGAGAUGGCCAUGAAGGUGGAGCUGGCCCGCUAAUGACUAAUGAGCCUAAUGAGCCUAAUGAGCCCUGCUAAUUGCUGCCCUUAGCACCAGGCCGCGUGGUUCCUGCUGGCCGAGAUGGCCAUGAAGGUGGAGCUGGCCCGCUAAUGAGCCUAAUGAGCCUAAUGAGCCCUGCUAAUUGCUGCCCUUAGCACCAGGCCGUGUGGUUCCUGCUGGCCGAGAUGGCCAUGAAGGUGGAGCUGG